This 460-nucleotide ribosomal RNA is filed under the name uncultured soil bacterium. RNAcentral's name for it is "bacterial SSU rRNA". It matches the Rfam family "Bacterial small subunit ribosomal RNA", at positions 8 to 467 of the family's 1533-position model. The record is from RNAcentral.
AGAGUUUGAUCCUGGCUCAGAAUGAACGUUGGCGGCGUGGAUUAGGCAUGCAAGUCGAGGGAGAACCCGCAAGGGGGACACCGGCGAACGGGGUAGGAUCACGUAGGUGACGUACCCCCAGGGCGAGGAUAGCCACGGGAAACUGUGGGUAAUACUCGAUAAUCUUCCCGGUCGUGAUGGCUGGGAAGCAAUGGGUGUGAUUCCACCUGGGGAGCGGCUUACGCAGUAUCAGCUAGUUGGUGAGGUAACGGCUCACCAAGGCUUUGACGCUUAGGGGGUGUGAGAGCAUGGCCCCCACCACUGGCACUGAGACACUGGCCAGACACCUACGGGUGGCUGCAGUCGAGAAUCUUCGGCAAUGGACGAAAGUCUGACCGAGCGACGCCGCGUGCGGGAUGAAGGUCUUCGGAUUGUAAACCGCUGUCAGAGGGGAUGAAGUAUACGAGAGCAAUCUCUUGUA